UAUGUGGGACUGGUCCACGACUGCGAGUU
This 29-nucleotide small RNA is filed under the name Bombyx mori (domestic silkworm). Its description in RNAcentral is "ovarian small RNA-24038". Lineage: Eukaryota; Metazoa; Arthropoda; Insecta; Lepidoptera; Bombycidae. The record is from RNAcentral.